This 488-nucleotide ribosomal RNA is filed under the name uncultured Lachnospiraceae bacterium. Its description in RNAcentral is "partial 16S ribosomal RNA". The record is from RNAcentral. Lineage: Bacteria; Bacillati; Bacillota; Clostridia; Lachnospirales; Lachnospiraceae.
CACGUAGUUAGCCGGGGCUUCUUAGUCAGGUACCGUCAUUUUCUUCCCUGCUGAUAGAGCUUUACGUACCGAAAUACUUCUUCACUCACGCGGCGUCGCUGCAUCAGGGUUUCCCCCAUUGUGCAAUAUCCCCCACUGCUGCCUCCCGUAGGAGUCUGGGCCGUGUCUCAGUCCCAAUGUGGCCGUUCACCCUCUCAGGCCGGCUACUGAUCGUUGCCUUGGUGGGCUUUUACCUCACCAACUAGCUAAUCAGACGCGGAACCAUCGUAUACCACCGGAGUUUUUCACACUGCUUCAUGCGAAGCUGUGCGCUUAUGCGGUAUUAGCACCUAUUUCUAAGUGUUAUCCCCCAGUAUACGGCAGGUUUUCCACGCGUUACUCACCCGUCCGCCACUAACUUAUAAUUCACUAGGUUUCGUUAUAAAUCCGUUCGACUUGCAUGUGUUAGGCACGCCGCCAGCGUUCAUCCUGAGCCAGGAUCAAACUCU